GACGAACGCUGGCGGCGUGCUUAACACAUGCAAGUCGAACGGUGAAGCGCCUUCCUUUUUGGUGGGUGUGGAUGAGUGGCGAACGGGUGAGUAACACGUGAGUAACCUGCCCCCUUCUUCUGGAUAACCGCAUGAAAGUGUGGCUAAUACGGGAUAUUCUGGGUCUGUCGCAUGAUGGGUCUGGGAAAGAUAUUGUUUCGGUGGGGGAUGGGCUCGCGGCCUAUCAGCUUGUUGGUGGGGUGAUGGCCUACCAAGGCGGUGACGGGUAGCCGGCCUGAGAGGGUGGACGGUCACACGGGGACUGAGACACGGCCCAGACUCCUACGGGAGGCAGCAGGGGGGAAUAUUGCACAAUGGGCGCAAGCCUGAUGCAGCGACGCCGCGUGAGGGAUGGAGGCCUUCGGGUUGUGAACCUCUUUCGCCAGUGAAGCAGGCCUGCCUCGUUUGUGGGUGGGUUGACGGUAGCUGGAGAAGAAGCGCCGGCUAACUACGUG
Molecule: ribosomal RNA, 494 nt
Filed under: uncultured bacterium
Lineage: Bacteria
Description: partial 16S ribosomal RNA
Rfam family: Bacterial small subunit ribosomal RNA
Source: RNAcentral